GCCUCUGUGAUGAGAACCUUCAUCACAGACCUGUGCUGAAUUUUGUGAGGAU
This 52-nucleotide small nucleolar RNA is filed under the name Pteropus vampyrus (large flying fox). Its description in RNAcentral is "Small nucleolar RNA SNORD25 (ENSPVAG00000028626.1)". Lineage: Eukaryota; Metazoa; Chordata; Mammalia; Chiroptera; Pteropodidae. The record is from RNAcentral.